GUAGUAACAACAAAUAGUGAGAAGUCAGCAGAGGUCAUAGUAGAGGGAACUCGAAGGAC
Molecule: non-coding RNA, 59 nt
Organism: Enterococcus cecorum
Lineage: Bacteria; Bacillati; Bacillota; Bacilli; Lactobacillales; Enterococcaceae
Source: Rfam